CAUUAGCUGAUCACACACACACACGCACCCCCCCCGGACAUUAGCUGAUCUCACACACACACACACACACACACACACCUGGACACACCUGGACAUUAGCUGAUCUGACCUCCAGGAGACUAAGAGCCUGAGGUUGAAACUUGCAAGGCAACCCCCCCAGUGAACUCUGAACUUGACUAGCUAGCUCCUCUCUGUAGGCAGAGUGCGGUGAAAUAGACAUUGUAAGAGAGAACUGUGCUGUUAUUCUUGUCUGAGGUUGUACUCCAAAUCCUCUUUCAUAAGAAAGACCUGAUUUUGAUGAACUUCUUAAACGUGGUCGUGUUGAGUUCACUGAUGGUAGUGUCCUCUUUGUUGUGAUCAGUAGACUGACUUGAGAAUCGUAUCCUCACUGUGUAAUAAGACUGGACACCACUGUUUGCCAUCUUUCCUCUUGUCAUCAUGCGUGUAGGGGUUGGAGGAGAGGGAAUCCAUUCCAGAUUCAUGAAUAAAUGAUUUUUAAAAUUCUGCCCUGAAUAAACUGCAGCUGAUAGUAACUUUUCUUUUAUCACUUUGGUAAUGUAAGCCUCAGGGUAAAAAAAAAAUAUGUGUUGAUAAGAAACAAGCUCCUAGAUCUUGUGGUAACAAAGAAGAAGGUUUUGUAUCAGUGUUGCUUUCAUUUCUAGACUGUUCUGUGAGGAUGGUCAAGACCUGGGAGCCGCUCUGGACUCACAAAUACACUCUUUCUACAUGGAGUAAUCAACGCUCCCUGUAGCGGGUCAUGGAGGGCUGCAUAUGUUAUAUAUUUCUUCCUGCGAUGUCUGUGUCUCAUUUCCACCUUGCAUUAUUUAAACCUCAGUUCUCAGCUCAGAGUUAAUGGACUCUUGAGGUGUUUGUUUCCUGUAACUCUUACGUAACCCACUUGCAGGUGUGGGAAAUCUCUUGUUCUCAGUUUGAAUCAUCACAAGCAACAGCUAAACAUAUAACCUGUGGUGGAAAACAUUUACUCCAUGCAAUUGAAAAUUCUGAAACAAACCAGAGCCUGGCACCUUCACUCUCGCUGGCUCCUGGCCCAGAGGAGAAUCCAGGAGGCUGUCUGCCCUCACCCAAAGAGUGAGCUUCCUGAGUCCACCGGCCUCCAGCCUCUCCCAGGGAAAGGUUUGGUGAAAGAAGCCAUCCUGCUUCACUUCCUGCGGAUCACUGGAUCGUGAUGCUUGGGCACUGCUGAUGGAAAAGAGAAACAUUUCAAAGAAAUAUGAGGUGCACGGCUCUUGUGGGCUGCCUGGUCAUCGAGAAUGAUGUCCAUGGGAGAGAAACCCAGCGUCCAGAUAAAAGAUUCUACAAGUUGCCUGAGAUCUCACAAAUGGGAUGAAACUCAGCCUUUUACUCCUGUUCCAUUUUUUCUUUCUAUUACAUGUUCUACUUAGUGGUUUCAGCGGCACCGUGAAACAGGGUAUAAAUUGGGUCUUUUAUAAAGAAGUGAAUGGAAUACAAGGUUCCAGAGCCAAACCAAACCUGCAAGUUUCCUGACACAGUGGACUAAAAUAAAAACCGGAGCGUGAAGAUGCUUCCUGGUUGGUUCAGUGGUGAAGAGUCCGCCUGUCAGUGCAGGGGACACAGCUUCGAUCCCUGGUCUGGGAGGAUCCCAUAGGCUGCAGAAAAACUAAGCCCAUGCCCCACAGUUAACUGAGACUGUGCCCCAGAGCCCAGGAGCCGCAACUGCUGAGCCCACAAGCUGCAACUGCUGAAGCCUGGGCACCAGAAAGUCUGCGCUCUGCAACAAGAGAAGGCACUGUAAACAGAAGCCCAAGCACAGUAACUAGAGAAAAGCCCACCCAGCAGUGAAAACCCAGCACAGUCAAAAUAAAUAAAUAAAGCUGGACGUAAAAAUGCCCUCUACAGUGAUCAUUCACAUGGGCAGGCAUG
This is a long non-coding RNA of Capra hircus (goat), 1902 nucleotides long. RefSeq lists it as uncharacterized. NCBI's taxonomy places the organism in Eukaryota, Metazoa, Chordata, Mammalia, Artiodactyla, Bovidae. The transcript is spliced from 3 exons. The record is from RefSeq and is a predicted model, not a curated record.